GUUGAUUGUUUGUGUUGCUGAUGAACUAGAGUUUGCUGAUAAUGUAACAUAUGGGUUUUUGUUGUUGAAGGGUUUAUUGUUUAAACCUUUAAGAGGAGUUGAACGAAUAGAGGGCAAGUGUGUUGUUUGAUUACCAGUAGAAUUGAGCGGAAUUGAUGCGUGGGAUUGUGAAGUGUGUAGGUUUAGAAUGAGGGUUUGAGUUCUUGAAGAAAGAAGUGGUGAAGCAGAUAAGAAAACUGACAUUUUCUUUCUCAGUUGCAGUUGAUGGAAAAAACUUACAGCAAGCAGAGGGAUGGAGAUGUGAAGGAUGAAUCGAUUGAUAAUAGCAAAAUCCUUUUCAAAUCGGAACCCUAGUUUCCAAUAUCAUCGCAUAUGUUUACAAAUCCGAACCUGUAAAGUGGGAAUUUGUUGCUGGUAGUCAGUGUAUGAGAAGAUGAGAUAAGACGUGGUU
Molecule: long non-coding RNA, 451 nt
Filed under: Helianthus annuus (common sunflower)
Lineage: Eukaryota; Viridiplantae; Streptophyta; Magnoliopsida; Asterales; Asteraceae
Description: sRNA HanXRQr2_Chr04g0183141
Source: RNAcentral